GCAUAUCAAUAAGCGGAGGAAAAGAAACCAACAGGGAUUGCCCUAGUAACGGCGAGUGAAGCGGCAACAGCUCAAAUUUGAAAUCUGGCGCAAGCCCGAGUUGUAAUUUGUAGAGGAUGUUUCUGGCGACGUGCCUUCCGAGUUCCCUGGAACGGGACGCCAUAGAGGGUGAGAGCCCCGUACGGUUGGAUGCCUAGCCUCUGUGAAACUCCUUCGACGAGUCGAGUAGUUUGGGAAUGCUGCUCUAAAUGGGAGGUAUACGUCUUCUAAAGCUAAAUACCGGCCAGAGACCGAUAGCGCACAAGUAGAGUGAUCGAAAGAUGAAAAGCACUUUGAAAAGAGGGUUAAAAAGUACGUGAAAUUGUUGAAAGGGAAGCGUUCAUGACCAGACUUGGGCAGGUUGAUCAUCCGUGGUUCUCCGCGGUGCACUCUGCCUGCCCAGGCCAGCAUCAGUUCGCCCCGGGGGAUAAAGGCUUUGGGAAUGUGGCUCCCUCGGGAGUGUUAUAGCCCACUGUGUAAUACCCUGGGGUGGACUGAGGUUCGCGCUCUGCAAGGAUGCUGGCGUAAUGGUCAUCAACGACCCGUCUUGAAACACGGACC
This 600-nucleotide ribosomal RNA is filed under the name Clonostachys rosea. RNAcentral's name for it is "partial large subunit ribosomal RNA". It matches the Rfam family "Eukaryotic large subunit ribosomal RNA", at positions 38 to 667 of the family's 3401-position model. The record is from RNAcentral. Lineage: Eukaryota; Fungi; Ascomycota; Sordariomycetes; Hypocreales; Bionectriaceae. RNAcentral also lists the same sequence under 8 other names.